UAAGCGGAAUAUGUCAUGUAGCGGUGAAAUGCUUAGAUAUGACAUAGAACACCCAUUGCGAAGGCAGCUUACUACGCAUAUAUUGACGCUGAGGCACGAAAGCGUGGGGAUCAAACAGGAUUAGAUACCCUGGUAGUCCACGCCGUAAACGAUGGAUACUAGCUGUUCGGGGCAACCUGAGUGGCUAAGCGAAAGUGAUAAGUAUCCCACCUGGGGAGUACGUUCGCAAGAAUGAAACUCAAAGGAAUUGACGGGGGCCCGCACAAGCGGUGGAGCAUGUGGUUUAAUUCGAUGAUACGCGAGGAACCUUACCAAGGCUUAAAUGUAGAUUGACCGGUUUGGAAACAGACUUUUCGCAAGACAAUUUACAAGGUGCUGCAUGGUUGUCGUCAGCUCGUGCCGUGAGGUGUCAGGUUAAGUCCUAUAACGAGCGCAACCCCUGUUGUUAGUUGCCAGCGAGUCAAGUCGGGAACUCUAACAAGACUGCCAGUGUAAACUGUGAGGAAGGUGGGGAUGACGUCAAAUCAUCACGGCCCUUACGCCUUGGGCUACACACGUGCUACAAUGGACGGUACAGAGAGCAGCCACUGGGUGACCAGGAGCGAAUCUACAAAACCGUUCUCAGUUCGGAUCGGA
Molecule: ribosomal RNA, 636 nt
Filed under: uncultured bacterium
Lineage: Bacteria
Description: bacterial SSU rRNA
Rfam family: Bacterial small subunit ribosomal RNA
Source: RNAcentral